AAAUGGGGGAAGUACCUAGUUAGGUCACUUAGCUUCUGAGUCAUGGGUCUGCAGAGUUCACAGUCAAGUGGAGGAGGCUGGAAGGGUUUAACUAUCAGGAAUGGUGAUAGGUGGGAGACAACACCGAGAGGGCCCAGCUGUUCCCCUGCUGCAUGAAAACUUAAAAAUUGCCCUAGAGUAGGUGACCUGUUGGAUUAAGCCUUAAGUUUUCUUUGAUGGGAAACUCUUGUUUUCUGCUCUUUAGCUUAUGACUAGGCAUCCAGAGACAAGGUGCUGUAUUUGCUCUUGCCUGUUUCCAUUGGCUGUAAAGGUGAAAAAUCCAUUUAAAAGGACAGGUUAAAGUGCAGUUCCAGAGCCACAGGACUCUAAAGGCGUUGACGUAGCAGAUGAGAUGAGCCCAGCUGUCCAUCCCCGUUUGUCAAGCACCUGCUCUAUGAGGCCAGAAGACGAGAAGAUGUGCCCAGACGGAAGGCAGGCCAUGACUAGAGAGCUCAAAGUACUGGUCUCACGUCCAUUGGCCGUCCUGGCACCAAGUGGAAAGUCGGGGGAUGAGAGGACCUUAGCCCAAGCUGGUCAGAUAAUGGCCUUCCUGGGGAGGGGAUAUUUCACCUGGGUCUUGAGAGUUAACCACCCAGUGCCCAAGACAGCAUUUGGCUUCAAACUAGCCUUUAAAAAAAAAAAAAGUUAAUUUCUAAGUGAAAAGGAAGUAGAUAAAUUGGAUGAUAAAUUUGUAAAUAUUUGUGAUAAAGGCAUAAGGAGUACUUGGGGCUUCCCAGGUGGCGCUAGUGGUAAAGAACCUGCCUGCCAGUGCAGGAGACAUAAGAGAAGCCGGUUGGAUCCCUGGGUCUGGAAGAUCCCCUGGAGGAGGUCAUGGCAACCCACCCCAGUAUUCUUGCCUGGAGAAUCCCGUGGACAGAGAAGUCUGGUGGGCUACAGUCCAUGGGGUCGCAAAGAGUCAGACCCAAGUGAAGCGACUUAGCUUGCACUCACAGCACUCAGUUUUUCAUGAGCCGUUCCUUAUUCAGAGUUUCCACUUGAACUUAAUAGCAGAAGUGGGUUUGGAGUUCCAGGCCUUGGAAGGCGCACCAGCUACAAAGGUUCCCUUACUACUUACGGCACGUGAAACGUCCCUGGUGGGUCCAUUCACUUCCGACCCUGUACUUCUGCUGGGAUCUUCCGGGGGCAACGCCACUCACGAGUGUAGAUUUCUGCCAUGACUUGCGGUCCCCGGCGUCGCCUGAGCAUUCGAUGCUGCUUGACACUUCUUUUCCCUGGUCCUCACUCUGGCACCCGCACCACCAUUUUGCUCAGCGGAUUCUCGAAAUGACUUUUUUCAAAGCUCAUAAGAAAUCUGCCUGUGUGCUCUCCAUUCCCUCGCCUCCCCACAGUGGCCCAGUGCCAGCGUCCCCUGCUUCAAGGCAGUUGGAGGGAUCCAAGUUCGUUCGCUCAGACACCCAGGGUCCCCUCAUGGCUGCUCCUGGCUGAGCCCGAGUUCCCGUCUCCACCUGCGCUCCCCCUCCUCCCAUCCCGGGGACCUGCCCUGUGCCCUGGGCUCUCUUCCCUUGGCAACGUCUCUCCCUGUCUUUAGAAACAGGGCUCUCUCUUGACCCCAUGUCCCCCAGGAGUCACUGCCCAUCUCCUUGCAGUCCCAGCCAAGCCCUGAGAGCAGGUCUGCGCUGACCGUCUCCGCUCCAUCUGUUGAGCCGCAGGUACCGCAUCAUCACGUGUGGUGGAGCCCGCACGGGUGAGGCCUUUCUGACCUCACUUCUCAUCCUCGUGCUCAUGAGGUUCCCAGACCCCCUCCUCGGCUCUGCCAUCCCAUUCAUCCACCUGGUCCGCCUUCUGGCCUCUGGCUUCCCCUCCUCCUGCCUGCUGCCCCGUGUCCCCCUGAGUCACCCAUCCUCGUGGUCUCGACAGCCGCGGGCGGCUGACGAUUCUCAGCUGCCUGUGGCUCUCCCCAGAGCUCUAGAUCCACAUGCACUGUCUGUCCUCGGGGGUCCCGCGGGGUCCGUCCCUGCACCUGCCCGCUCACCCGUCACACCCACUUGCCCGGGACGGAAACCUGGAAACCAUCUUCGACUCCCUUGGCUCCGUAACCCCCACCGUCAGCCAUCAGGUUCUCCUAAAUCUUUCUCACACCAGCUUUUCUCUUUCCCCGCCAUCCCUGCUGUGCUGCAGGCCCCGUCCCACCGUCUCACCAAAACCUUUGCCAACCAGCUGCGUGACCUGCUCCAGCCCUCCUUUCCCAAGGCUCUCCGGAGGCUUCCUAACCUGCAGGUGGAACCACAUCAUUCCAGUCGAAACUCAAAGUUUGGAGCCGCUCCUCCAGUAGGCAUUUCAAACGCGCAGCCUUGUUUUCCACCCCUCCUGCCUCCCCCAGCUCCAGUGGUUCAGACCUUUGUUUUCAGGCUGGCCAUUCUCUGCCCAGGAGACCCUUUCUCACCGCCUUUGACAUUCCUCCUCUUCCAAAGCAGCUCAGGUGGCAUCUCAAAGAAGCCUUCCCUGGAAGGGCAUUUCGGUAGCAUUCCGCCCAAAUUGCUAUCAUCGUCUUCACGGUGAAAGUGACCUGUUAACCUUCCUGCUUGUCCACCAAGCUGCGCCUUUGAGGGCAGGGGCAGUUUCUCUUCUGCCUCCAGCCUCGGAGUGGACCAGGGCCAGCCCGAUGCAGGACGCGCGGUCGGCCCCAUCGGAGCAGAAACGCCCGGCGCUGCCCCUCCUGGUUUCGUCCUCCACCCCCACCGCCUGUGGAACGCAGAGUGGUUGCAUGCCAUGUACAACUGAAUCACCUUGCUGUACGCCUGGAAACUGCCACCACACUGUUAAUCAGCCAAACUCCAGGACGAAAUAAAAAGUUUUCUAAAAAGUCCCAGCUCCUUAGCUGGGCUAAAAGGGAAAUGUGGCAUAAUAGGGGAAAAAAAAAAAAGAAGUUUCCAUGAGACAGACCCAGAUUUUAAUAGCGGUUCCACUACUUAUCGGUUCAGUGAUCUCGGUUUUUUUUCUUGUAGUAAAAAGGCACAGAAUUUACUGUCUUCGCCGUUUUCAUGUGUGCGGCUCAUUGGUGCCGAGGACGUCUGGGUAGCCACGCAUCCCACCACCGCUGUCCUUCCCCCGGGCUCCUUUCAUCUUGCCAAACCGAAGCUCUCUUCCUGCUGAACAGUAACCCCCGACUCGGACUCCCCACAGCCCACCCCCGACACCCACCUUUCCCUUUGUGUCUCCCAACACCUUUCUGUCUCCGUGAACUUGACUGUCCAGAUAACGUCAUUCGUAUCAGCGAAUCAUGCAGCGUUUGUCCUUUUACGUCUGGCUUAUUUCACUUCACAGAGUCCCCAGUACUCAUCCACGUCACGAUGCAUGUCAGAAUUUCCUUCCUUUCUAGGGCUGAAUAAUGGUCCAUUGUAUACAUAUACACACACACACACACACACAUAUCACAUUUUACUAAUCCAUUCAUUCCCUCAGUGGAUAAUUGAGUUUCUUCCACAUUUUAGGUGUCGUGAAUAAUGCUGCUGUGAACAUGGGUGUUCAAUUAAACAC
Long non-coding RNA from Bos taurus (domestic cattle), 3537 nucleotides. The record is from Ensembl. NCBI's taxonomy places the organism in Eukaryota, Metazoa, Chordata, Mammalia, Artiodactyla, Bovidae.